This 415-nucleotide ribosomal RNA is filed under the name uncultured microorganism. RNAcentral's name for it is "bacterial SSU rRNA". It matches the Rfam family "Bacterial small subunit ribosomal RNA", at positions 9 to 430 of the family's 1533-position model. The record is from RNAcentral.
GAGUUUGAUCCUGGCUCAGAUUGAACGCUGGCGGCAUGCCUUACACAUGCAAGUCGAACGGUAACAGGUCUUCGGAUGCUGACGAGUGGCGAACGGGUGAGUAAUACAUCGGAACGUGCCCGAUCGUGGGGGAUAACGGAGCGAAAGCUUUGCUAAUACCGCAUACGAUCUACGGAUGAAAGCAGGGGACCGCAAGGCCUUGCGCGGACGGAGCGGCCGAUGGCAGAUUAGGUAGUUGGUGGGAUAAAAGCUUACCAAGCCGACGAUCUGUAGCUGGUCUGAGAGGACGACCAGCCACACUGGGACUGAGACACGGCCCAGACUCCUACGGGAGGCAGCAGUGGGGAAUUUUGGACAAUGGGCGAAAGCCUGAUCCAGCCAUGCCGCGUGCAGGAUGAAGGCCUCGGUUGUAACG